This 254-nucleotide ribosomal RNA is filed under the name uncultured bacterium. Its description in RNAcentral is "partial 16S ribosomal RNA". It matches the Rfam family "Bacterial small subunit ribosomal RNA", at positions 524 to 776 of the family's 1533-position model. The record is from RNAcentral.
CACGUAGGGUGCGAGCGUUGUCCGGAAUUAUUGGGCGUAAAGAGCUCGUAGGCGGUGUGUCGCGUCGGCCGUGAAAACCUGCAGCUUAACUGUGGGCGUGCGGUCGAUACGGGCAUCACUGGAGUUCGGCAGGGGAGACUGGAAUUCCUGGUGUAGCGGUGAAAUGCGCAGAUAUCAGGAGGAACACCGGUGGCGAAGGCGGGUCUCUGGGCCUUACCUGACGCUGAGGAGCGAAAGCUAGGGGAGCAAACGGG